RNAcentral lists this ribosomal RNA (484 nucleotides) under uncultured bacterium. Its description in RNAcentral is "bacterial SSU rRNA". It matches the Rfam family "Bacterial small subunit ribosomal RNA", at positions 1 to 509 of the family's 1533-position model. The record is from RNAcentral.
CAACAGCUAGAGUUGAUCCUGGCUCAGGACGAACGCUGGCGGUAUGCCUAACACAUGCAAGUCGAACGAGGUUCUUCGGAACCUAGUGGCGAACGGGUGAGUAACACGUGAGCAACCUGCCUUACACUUUCGGAUACCUACGGGAAACUGUAGUUAAUACGGUAUAAGACCACGCUGUCGCAUGACAGAGGGGUAAAAGAUUUAUCGGUGUAAGAUGGGCUCGCGUCGCAUUAGCUAGUUGGUGGGGUAACGGCUCACCAAGGCGACGAUGCGUAGCCGACCUGAGAGGGUGAUCGGCCACACUGGGACUGAGAUACGGCCCAGACUCCUACGGGAGGCAGCAGUGGGGAAUAUUGGGCAAUGGGCGAAAGCCUUACCCAGCAAUACCGCGUGAGGGAAGGAGGUCUUCGGAUUGUAAACCUCUUUGAUCAGGGACGAAGAAAGUGACGGUACCUGAAGAACAAGCCCCGGCUAACUACGUGCC